AACCUAAUUAGUUGGGUUAGGUUGGUCAAGUACAUCUGAUCAAAAAUUGAUAUUUCUAAUUUGCAAAUAGCUCAAUGCUUCCCAUAUUAAUCAUAAAAAUUUUAAAAUUCAAAAACACAAAUAAACCUCAAAGUUGUGACUAGGGAUAGCAAUGGAUCGAGUAUGGAUCAGAUUGGCUAACAUCCAUAUCCAUUCUACAAUUAAAAAUUCUAUAUCAAUACUUAUUUCAUAUCCAUCUCGGGUCGAGUC
RNAcentral lists this long non-coding RNA (249 nucleotides) under Elaeis guineensis (African oil palm). RNAcentral's name for it is "long non-coding RNA (EGUI_LNC017921)". Lineage: Eukaryota; Viridiplantae; Streptophyta; Magnoliopsida; Arecales; Arecaceae. The record is from RNAcentral.